GACGAACGCUGGCGGCGUGCCUAAUACAUGCAAGUAGAACGCUGAAGGAGGAGCUUGCUUCUCCGGAUGAGUUGCGAACGGGUGAGUAACGCGUAGGUAACCUGCCUGGUAGCGGGGGAUAACUAUUGGAAACGAUAGCUAAUACCGCAUAAGAGUAGAUGUCGCAUGACAUUUGCUUAAAAGGUGCAACUGCGCCACUACCAGAUGGACCUGCGUUGUAUUAGCUAGUUGGUGAGGUAACGGCUCACCAAGGCAACGAUACAUAGCCGACCUGAGAGGGUGAUCGGCCACACUGGGACUGAGACACGGCCCAGACUCCUACGGGAGGCAGCAGUAGGGAAUCUUCGGCAAUGGACGGAAGUCUGACCGAGCAACGCCGCGGGAGUGAAGAAGGUUUUCGGAUCGUAAAGCUCUGCUGUAAGAGAAGAACGAGUGUGAGAGUGGAAAGUUCACACUGUGACGGUAUCUUACCAGAAAGGGACGGCUAACUACGUG
This 495-nucleotide ribosomal RNA is filed under the name uncultured bacterium. RNAcentral's name for it is "partial 16S ribosomal RNA". It matches the Rfam family "Bacterial small subunit ribosomal RNA", at positions 28 to 507 of the family's 1533-position model. The record is from RNAcentral.